This 640-nucleotide ribosomal RNA is filed under the name uncultured Trichoderma. RNAcentral's name for it is "eukaryotic LSU rRNA". The stretch from base 253 to 406 matches the Rfam family "5.8S ribosomal RNA". The record is from RNAcentral. Lineage: Eukaryota; Fungi; Ascomycota; Sordariomycetes; Hypocreales; Hypocreaceae.
CUUGGUCAUUUAGAGGAAGUAAAAGUCGUAACAAGGUCUCCGUUGGUGAACCAGCGGAGGGAUCAUUACCGAGUUUACAACUCCCAAACCCAAUGUGAACGUUACCAAACUGUUGCCUCGGCGGGGUCACGCCCCGGGUGCGUAAAAGCCCCGGAACCAGGCGCCCGCCGGAGGGACCAACCAAACUCUUUCUGUAGUCCCCUCGCGGACGUUAUUUCUUACAGCUCUGAGCAAAAAUUCAAAAUGAAUCAAAACUUUCAACAACGGAUCUCUUGGUUCUGGCAUCGAUGAAGAACGCAGCGAAAUGCGAUAAGUAAUGUGAAUUGCAGAAUUCAGUGAAUCAUCGAAUCUUUGAACGCACAUUGCGCCCGCCAGUAUUCUGGCGGGCAUGCCUGUCCGAGCGUCAUUUCAACCCUCGAACCCCUCCGGGGGAUCGGCGUUGGGGAUCGGGACCCCUCACCGGGUGCCGGCCCUGAAAUACAGUGGCGGUCUCGCCGCAGCCUCUCCUGCGCAGUAGUUUGCACAACUCGCACCGGGAGCGCGGCGCGUCCACGUCCGUAAAACACCCAACUUUCUGAAAUGUUGACCUCGGAUCAGGUAGGAAUACCCGCUGAACUUAAGCAUAUCAAUAAGCGGAGGA